UGUGACCAACCUAUCUCCCUUAAUGGACUGC
This 31-nucleotide non-coding RNA is filed under the name Mus musculus (house mouse). Lineage: Eukaryota; Metazoa; Chordata; Mammalia; Rodentia; Muridae. The record is from RNAcentral.